This 497-nucleotide ribosomal RNA is filed under the name uncultured bacterium. Its description in RNAcentral is "partial 16S ribosomal RNA". It matches the Rfam family "Bacterial small subunit ribosomal RNA", at positions 28 to 507 of the family's 1533-position model. The record is from RNAcentral.
GACGAACGCUGGCGGCGCGCUUAACACAUGCAAGUCGAACGGUGAAGCGCCUUCCUUUUUGGUGGGUGUGGAUGAGUGGCGAACGGGUGAGUAACACGUGAGUAACCUGCCCCCUUCUUCUGGAUAACCGCAUGAAAGUGUGGCUAAUACGGGAUAUUCUGGGUCUGUCGCAUGAUGGGUCUGGGAAAGAUAUUGUUUCGGUGGGGGAUGGGCUCGCGGCCUAUUAGCUUGUUGGUGGGGUGAUGGCCUACCAAGGCGGCGACGGGUAGCCGGCCUGAGAGGAGGGUCGGCGGCACUACAGGUGCGGCGACGCCGAGCAUACUCCGGGAGGAGGCAGUAGGGGAGAAUAUGGAACAGGGGGAGCAAUGCUGAAGCAGCGACGCGGCGGGAGUGAUGGUGGCCGUCGGGUUGUGAUCCUCUUUCGCGAGUGAAGCAGUCUGGCAUCGUUUGUGGGUGGGUUGACGGUAGCUGGAUAAGAAGCGCCGGCUAACUACGUG